CGGGACGGGUGAGUAACGCGUGGGUAACCUGCCUCAUACAGGGGGAUAACAGUUAGAAAUGACUGCUAAUACCGCAUAAGCGCACAAAACCGCAUGGUUUGGUGUGAAAAACUGAGGUGGUAUGAGAUGGACCCGCGUCUGAUUAGCUAGUUGGAGAGGUAACGGCUCACCAAGGCAACGAUCAGUAGCCGACCUGAGAGGGUGACCGGCCACAUUGGGACUGGGACACGGCCCAAACUCCUACGGAAGGCAGCAG
This 256-nucleotide ribosomal RNA is filed under the name uncultured bacterium. RNAcentral describes it as "partial 16S ribosomal RNA". It matches the Rfam family "Bacterial small subunit ribosomal RNA", at positions 98 to 354 of the family's 1533-position model. The record is from RNAcentral.